GUGGGAGAGGCCUCAAGUCCUCCUAAGAAAUCUUCAGAUGGUUUUCUAGUUGCAAGGCUCAGCAUGUCAUAGUCUCUGGCUUUUUCAAAAGCCAUAUACACCUCAGAGGUCUGGAGGUGGAGAAGAACUCCUGGAUGCACGACUUCACAACAAAAACCAUAGCAAGCUCAGGGCUCGCGUAGGCAUCUGUGGACUGCGAACGGAGAGCAAGCGUCCCUGCUCCACUCCAGCAAGCGCAACGCCAGCAGUACGUUUAGCCUGAGAAACCAAGGACCCAACCAGCACCCCACCCGAGGCUCCGUCUCUGUUCACGCUCACUCAUUUUAAAGGCUUAUUUUUGAAUGAGUCACGUAUGUAUGUGUCUGUGUGUGGGUUUGUGUACAGAAGUGGCCGUGCCCACAGAGAUUAGGAGGGGGUGUCAGAGCCUCGGGAGCUGCCUACUGUGGGUGCUGGAACUGACUUGGGCCCUCUACAAAAGUAGUCUUCUUAGCUGCUGAAUCAACUCUCCAGCCCUCAUUCAUUCUGUCUUCUUCAUACAGAUCUGCGCUGAGGGCGGUGAUCUCAGCUACACUCAUGGUUCCCUAGUGAUAGAUCUAGAGUUUGUACUGAAGGCUAUCAAAUAGCACUGCUGUGAAUUAAAAUCCUGUUCAUUUUGCUUAA
Alexandromys fortis (reed vole) is the source of this 660-nucleotide long non-coding RNA. RefSeq lists it as uncharacterized. NCBI's taxonomy places the organism in Eukaryota, Metazoa, Chordata, Mammalia, Rodentia, Cricetidae. The transcript is spliced from 2 exons. The record is from RefSeq and is a predicted model, not a curated record.